RNAcentral lists this ribosomal RNA (235 nucleotides) under uncultured bacterium. RNAcentral describes it as "partial 16S ribosomal RNA". It matches the Rfam family "Bacterial small subunit ribosomal RNA", at positions 120 to 354 of the family's 1533-position model. The record is from RNAcentral.
AGCAAUCUGCCUUGGAGUGGGGAAUAACGGCUGGAAACAGCCGCUAAUACCGCAUGAAGCAGCUGGGAGGCAUCUCCCUGGCUGUCAAAGAUUUGUCGCUCUGAGAUGAGCUCGCGUCUGAUUAGCUAGUUGGCGGGGUAACGGCCCACCAAGGCGACGAUCAGUAGCCGGACUGAGAGGUUGGCCGGCCACAUUGGGACUGAGACACGGCCCAGACUCCUACGGAAGGCAGCAG